UACGUAGGGUGCAAGCGUUGUCCGGAAUUAUCGGGCGUAAAGAGCUUGUAGGCGGUUUGUCGCGUCUGCUGUGAAAUUUCGGGGCUCAACCCCGAACUUGCAGUGGGUACGGGCAGACUAGAGUGUGGUAGGGGAGACUGGAAUUCCUGGUGUAGCGGUGAAAUGCGCAGAUAUCAGGAGGAACACCGAUGGCGAAGGCAGGUCUCUGGGCCAUAACUGACGCUGAGAAGCGAAAGCAUGGGGAGCGAACAGG
Molecule: ribosomal RNA, 253 nt
Filed under: uncultured bacterium
Lineage: Bacteria
Description: partial 16S ribosomal RNA
Rfam family: Bacterial small subunit ribosomal RNA
Source: RNAcentral